GACGAACGCUGGCGGCGGGCUUAACACAUGCAAGUCGAACGGAAAGGCCCUGCUUUUGUGGGGUGCUCGAGUGGCGAACGGGUGAGUAACACGUGAGUAACCUGCCCUUGACUUUGGGAUAACUUCAGGAAACUGGGGCUAAUACCGGAUAGGGGCUCCUGCUGCAGGGGGGGGGUUGGAAAGUUUCGGCGGUGGGGGGUGGAGUCUCGGCUUAUCAGCUUGUUGGUGGGGUAGUGGCUUACCAAGGCUUUGACGGGUAGCCGGCCUGAGAGGGUGACCGGCCACAUUGGGACUGAGAUACGGACCAGACUCCUACGGGAGGCAGCAGUGGGGAAUAUUGCACAAUGGGCGGAAGCCUGAUGCAGCAACGCCGCGUGCGGGAUGACGGCCUUCGGGUUGUAAACCGCUUUCGCCUGUGACGAAGCGUGAGUGACGGUAAUGGGUAAAGAAGCACCGGCUAACUACGUG
RNAcentral lists this ribosomal RNA (468 nucleotides) under uncultured bacterium. RNAcentral describes it as "partial 16S ribosomal RNA". It matches the Rfam family "Bacterial small subunit ribosomal RNA", at positions 28 to 507 of the family's 1533-position model. The record is from RNAcentral.